This 499-nucleotide long non-coding RNA is filed under the name Phoenix dactylifera (date palm). RNAcentral describes it as "long non-coding RNA (PDAC_LNC006346)". The record is from RNAcentral. Lineage: Eukaryota; Viridiplantae; Streptophyta; Magnoliopsida; Arecales; Arecaceae.
AAAGUCAUUUAACAUAUCAUUCAAAAUAGGCAUCAACAUGUCCUAAAUCCAUCAAAAUCAAAGUUCAAAAGUAUGCCAUAGAGAUCAACAGAGAUUUCAUUCCUCCUAGGAAUGCAAAGACCUAUCAUCUAAGGCAAAAGCAAUCAUAAUGAAGCAUGAUCAGGAGAAUCAAAAUCACCAUUACUCCCAUGAUCUGCAUGCCUUGGUCCAAAGCCAAUCUCUUCUCUCAUCUUUUGAAGAACCUCCUCCUGCCAUUUUUUUCUUUUCGUGCUUAAGAAUACCUAGAAGGUCUUCACGCGUGUAUAGCUCUGGAGCUUGACUUGUAGAGGUGGAAGAGGAUGAUGAUUGCCCAAUAAUUCUAGUGAGAUCCUCCAGGGGACUAAAGCUAUAGACAUGGCCAUGAGUUGGGACACCAGUUGCCUUAAACCACAAGUCAUAAUCACGUGGUGGAGCAUCUGAGGUGGAGGCAUCACCAUAUUUUUUGGAGUAUUCAGCUGAA